RNAcentral lists this ribosomal RNA (301 nucleotides) under uncultured bacterium. RNAcentral describes it as "partial 16S ribosomal RNA". It matches the Rfam family "Bacterial small subunit ribosomal RNA", at positions 509 to 807 of the family's 1533-position model. The record is from RNAcentral.
CAGCAGCCGCGGGAAUACGAGGGGGGCAAGCGUUAAUCGGAAUUACUGGGCGUAAAGGGAGCGUAGGCGGCGUGGUAAGUCAGAUGUGAAAUCCCGGGGCUCAACCCCGGAACUGCAUCCGGUACUGCCGUGCUAGAGGAUUGGAGAGGUAGCUGGAAUUCUUGGUGUAGCAGUGAAAUGCGUGGAGAUCAAGAGGAACACUCGUGGCGAAAGCGAGCUACUGGACAAUAUCUGACGCUGAGGCUCGAAGGCCAGGGUAGCGAAAGGGAUUAGAUACCCCAGUAGUCCCUGUCUCUUAUAC